AUUGAACGCUGGCGGCAUGCCUUACACAUGCAAGUCGAACGGUAACGGGCCUUCGGGUGCCGACGAGUGGCGCACGGGUGAGUAAUACAUCGGAACGUGCCCGAUCGUGGGGGAUAACGAGGCGAAAGCUUUGCUAAUACCGCAUACGAUCUACGGAUUAAAGCAGGGGACCGCAAGGCCUUGCGCGGACGGAGCGGCCGAUGGCAGAUUAGGUAGUUGGUGGGAUAAAAGCUUACCAAGCCGACGAUCUGUAGCUGGUCUGAGAGGAUGAUCAGCCACACUGGGACUGAGACACGGCCCAGACUCCUACGGGAGGCAGCAGUGGGGAAUUUUGCACAAUGGGCGCAAGCCUGAUCCAGCAAUGCCGCGUGCAGGAUGAAGGCCUUCGGGUUGUAAACUGCUUUUGUACGGAACGAAAAGCCUUCUUUUAAUACAGGAGGGUCAUGACGGUACCGUAAGAAUAAGCACCGGCUAACUACGUG
Molecule: ribosomal RNA, 482 nt
Filed under: uncultured bacterium
Lineage: Bacteria
Description: partial 16S ribosomal RNA
Rfam family: Bacterial small subunit ribosomal RNA
Source: RNAcentral